Molecule: non-coding RNA, 254 nt
Organism: Dermacentor albipictus
Lineage: Eukaryota; Metazoa; Arthropoda; Arachnida; Ixodida; Ixodidae
Source: RefSeq, a predicted model, not a curated record
CGAUAACGCUAGCACCUUUUGCGGUCAAUAGUGAAAAAAUCACCCGGAAUGGCUCCUUCGCAUGGUAUCUGCUUCACAACGAGCAAACCAUCGAGACCAUGGUGGAUAACCAGCGUCGUCCAUCCGGCCAGCACUCGUAUGAAGCUGUUCAGUGCGGAUUUGGCCCCCAAUGUGAUCACCCCUACAAUCGCUCCAACCAGCCAAAGGAUACCCCUCGUAGCCCUCAAAAGGGUAUCAAAUGAAAUGGGCGAGGC